This 253-nucleotide ribosomal RNA is filed under the name uncultured bacterium. RNAcentral's name for it is "partial 16S ribosomal RNA". It matches the Rfam family "Bacterial small subunit ribosomal RNA", at positions 524 to 776 of the family's 1533-position model. The record is from RNAcentral.
UACGGAGGGUGCAAGCGUUAUCCGGAAUCACUGGGUUUAAAGGGAGCGUAGGCGGCUUUGUAAGUCAGGGGUGAAAGCCCGCAGCUUAACUGCGGAACUGCCUUUGAUACUGCAGAGCUUGAAAGAGGUUGAGGUCAGUGGAACGUGACAUGUAGCGGUGAAAUGCAUAGAUAUGUCACAGAACACCAAUUGCGAAGGCAGCUGGCUGGGCCUACUUUUACGCUGAGGUACGAAAGCGUGGGGAGCGAACAGG